Molecule: non-coding RNA, 522 nt
Organism: Triplophysa dalaica
Lineage: Eukaryota; Metazoa; Chordata; Actinopteri; Cypriniformes; Nemacheilidae
Source: the annotation of a RefSeq genome assembly
UUCAGUGCUGCAUGUGUAAUGGAUGUUUAUACAGUGAUUCUCUUCUGUGCUUCAGCAUAUGCUGUUUCUGGAUCAGACAUCACAGCAGAUGAGGAAAACAUUUCUGCUGAGGAGGAUUCACAUGUCACAUUAUCUUGCAGUUAUUCCUCUAAUGAUUAUCUGUUCUGGUACCGUCAGUAUCCUGGAUCAGCUCCUGAAUUUCUUGUAGUUAUUCUUGAUGGCACAACUAAUGACAAAACGUCUGAAGUAGAUCCAAGAAUGUCUGUGAAACUCACUAAACAGGAGCAGAAACAUGUUCAUCUGGAGAUCUCCUCUGCUGCUCUAUCAGACUCUGCUCUGUAUUACUGUGCCAUGAGGCCCACAGUGACAGAAAACCAUUCACACCCCGACAAAAACCCCAGACUAUGUGCUGUUGUGCCCACCCAGGAUAUCUGCAAGCCCACCCUUCUGCACCUGGCAGGAUCCGGGUCAGCAGGAUCAAAAAUGCCAUUCUGUAGAACCAAUAAAUGUAUACAGAUUUGA